RNAcentral lists this long non-coding RNA (3118 nucleotides) under Triticum aestivum (bread wheat). Its description in RNAcentral is "long non-coding RNA (TAES_LNC020207)". The record is from RNAcentral. Lineage: Eukaryota; Viridiplantae; Streptophyta; Magnoliopsida; Poales; Poaceae.
GCCAGUCUUUCAGUGUAAUUUGUCCCAGAUUUACAUUGUAAUUUGUCCCGGAUUUACAGUGUAUAUUGAGUGGAUAUUACAGUGUUAUUUGGUUGUAAUUCCAGUGUAGACUUACAGUGUAAUUUUAUCUCAGUAUUGCAGUAUAAUUUGUCCCAAAUUUAUGGUGUAAUUUCUACCAGAUUUAUAAUUUAAUUAACCUUUUUCAGUGUGGUAUUGAGUGAAUUUUCUAUGUUAUUUGAUUGUGAUUGCAGUGUAGUUCAUCCCAGCAUUACAGACUUCUAAUUGUAAUUCACCCAUUAAUUCCAGUGGAUUUAUAGUGUAAUUCGAAUGUAGUUUCAGUGUAAUUUACCCCAACAUUAGAGUGUAGUUUACCCAAUAAUUCCAGUGUGGGUUGUUAUUGGAUUUUGAGUGGUUUUGUCAGUGUAUUUUAGCCCGUCUUGCACACUGUUUGCACAUUAAUUUUGUCUAUUUUCCAAUGUAAUUAAGUCCAGUUUGCUCAGUAAUACCAUUGGUUCCUAUAUAUUAUUUAGCUAGUAUUCAAUGUUCCUUGCUUGGUUCAGUACUGUAGGGCGGUUUUCAUUUAGCUCACUUUAAUGCCUUCUUCAUUGAGGAAUUCAUCGUCUCCUUGUUCAAGUGAGUCUUCUGGUUCUUUUUUUUCUCCUUCUCCAUUCCUUUGACCCGUGCUUGAGUUCGUGUUAGCUGCUGCUCUACUGCAAUCAACAUCUUCAGGCACCUGCAACUUUUAGGGAUUUCUUUUAGUUAUUUUCUUCUGAAAUGUUAUGAGUUUCUCUUAGGUUCAUCAUUGUAUUUCUGAAUUUUGUGGUGUGUACAUGUUGCAGAUUCAUGUUAUAGAACAGGUUUGUGUCCCAGGGAUUACAUCCUCCUCCUCCAUCUUCGCUUGCUGCCACUUAAUUAUGCAAGUUUGCCUCCAAUGUCUGCAAAUGUAAGUUUCAAUGAUUGUUAGUGUGUUUUUCUUUGGCAUUUUCUUGUAAUAGUUAUUCAGCUCUUGUUUUGCUUACAUUGUCAUCUUGUUGUGAUGAAACUGUCAUCUGGUUUGCUCACUUGAAUGUUCGUAGAUCCAUCUCCUGAAUGUACCUGCAAGAUUCAUCACAAGUUUAAUUUUAGACAUCUCAUGAAUGUCCGUGGUAUUUUUUGUUUUUGUCACUUUACCUUGUAUAUAUUGUCGGAAUGAAGGAGCGCAGUGAAAUAAAACGUUUCUUGCAUCAUAAUUUUGUUAGCCUUUUACCCUUUUUAUGUAUUUUUAAACAUCUUCCCAAUGUUUUAGCAACUAUAUCUCACAUUUAGUAUGAGUUAUUCCUGUGAUAACUCAGUAGAUCCUCUUCAGUCACUACCCUCAUCAUGCUCCUGUCCUGUCACAAUUGGAAAGUAGAAUGUUAGUGUUAACAUAAUCAUGAGUAACAAAGCAUUUUAGUAAUAGAUGCUUGAAUGCAUUCUGUAUGCUUGAAUGUUAAUGCUAGUAUUUUGUAAUGUCUGCAUGCUUGAAUGUAUUCUGUAGAUUGUGUUUGUGCUUAUGCUCUCUGCUUUCUAUGUUCUUUCUAUGCCUGAAUGUUUUCUAAGGCUUUUACACUGCAAAUUACUAGGUAAAAGUGUAAUUACCUGAGUUUUCUUCUAGUUUAUUUUCACUGUGGAUUUUACUGGUUUCUUAGUGUAAAACCCCUAGAUUUUUGCACUAGAAUUUCUAGAGAUUUAUAGUGGAAAUUUCUAGGUAGCUACAGUGUAAUUUUUCCCUGGCAUUUACACUGUAAUUUAAUUUGUAGAUACCUACAAUUUAAUUUACAUUGUAAGUAGUACCUACAGUGUAAAUUACACUGGAAUUUUUACAAGGUACUUACAGUGUAACCUACAUCAUUCUGGUGUAACUUACACUGGAAUUUAAUUUGUAGAUUCUAGGUAUGUACAGUGUAAUUAAACUGGAAUUUACCAUGUACUUACAAUGUAAAGCUAGGAAAUUGUGUGUAAAGUUUGGCUGCUGCCCAGUGGCAAGUAACCAUGGAUAGAUAGUUCAUUUUGUAUUACAAACCAGGUUACUAGGUAAUUGCAUCAUUUGUCUCAGGUUUACACUGGAAUUUAUAUCAGAUUUAUCCCACACUGAAAUUCCAGAUUUUACAAUUUUUUGUAUGUAAAUUACUAGGUAUGUACAGUGUAGUUAAACUGGAAUUUACUGUGUACUUACAAUGUAAUUGCACAAUUUGUCUCAUGUUUACACUGGAAUUUACACCAGAUUUCACAAGUUAUUGGGAUUUACACUGUAUUUUUUUAUGAUUUACAGUGUAAAUUACUAGGUAUGUACAGUGUAAUUACAUCAUUUGUCUCAUGUUUACACUGGUAUUUAUGGGGGAUUUACAUGGGAAAUUAUGGAGAAUUUACACUACAAUUUAAUUACAUGGGGAUUUGCACUGUAACUUUCUGGGAAUUACACUGGAAUUUUAUAGGAUUUACACUGGAAAAUGACUACCACUUGCACUAUAAGCUUCUGAAUGUUUUCUGAAUUUUUCCUGUAUUUUUUAUGUUAAUCCCCAUGUAUCUUUCCUAGAAUUAUAGGUGAUCUUGAUCUCUCUAUUUUGAAGAUGAAGAAAAUUCCUUCAGAUUUUGUUAAUGAAAGAGGUGAAGAGAGAUGAUGGUGAGGAGUUUGUGUACGAUUGUUGCUGACCUGUUGAUUCCCCGAUCUCCCAUGGCAGCCUCUCCCUUCCCCAUGGGCGCCUUCCAGAUUUGUUCUAGGCUGUUAGGUGAGAUCUUUGUAGUGGUUGAUGGCAAUUGGCGUGUUUUGUUGUGCCUGGGAUCGGACAAAUCGGGUCAGAUGUUUACCCGACCCGUUUAGACGAUCAGAAGGUUUUUUUUAGCUAUCUGCUGAUUUUCCUGCUCGCUCACGUGUAAUGUGUUGAUUGGUCAGGAAAUUUGACUGUUUUCGAAUUGAAAAACAGUCAAAUGUCAAAUAGACAGUCCCUUACUUUAUAUAUAGCUCACAUCUACAUCGUUGGAUGAAUCCCUCCAAACGAACGACAAGGGGCUGGUCUGACGAAACACAUGGAUUCAGACGUCUGAACUAAAGUGUUUCCCAUUGUUGAUUGUUGCCUUGUCUAUCAUUGUCUACCCCAAG